UUAAGUAGAUUAAGUAUGAGUUGCUUUCUCUGUCUUGAAAAAGAUACUUUAUGGAAAAAUAACAACAGGAUCAACUAGGAUCGAGAAAGCAUUACCUGAGAGCCAUGUGCGAUACCUUCUAUGUGAUACUGUGCCUGAUAACCAUGCUCAUAAUAUGGAUUGCUGUGCUUCAUUUGGAGUACUUUUCUUAAAGAGGGGUGAAGCUACAAGUUCUACGGCCAUAUGUUACUUUUCAGCAAGUUUUGGUUAUUUUAAUCUCUGUAAUUUCCCUCUAGUUCUUAGUUUUUUCUUGGAAAUAUACAUAUUUUGUAAACCAUAAAUAAACGGUCACCAUGGGCAAAAUCUA
Molecule: long non-coding RNA, 346 nt
Organism: Drosophila kikkawai
Lineage: Eukaryota; Metazoa; Arthropoda; Insecta; Diptera; Drosophilidae
Source: RefSeq, a predicted model, not a curated record